Molecule: ribosomal RNA, 492 nt
Filed under: uncultured bacterium
Lineage: Bacteria
Description: partial 16S ribosomal RNA
Rfam family: Bacterial small subunit ribosomal RNA
Source: RNAcentral
AGUGAACGCUGGCGGUAGGCCUAACACAUGCAAGUCGAACGGCAGCACAGUAAGAGCUUGCUCUUACGGGUGGCGAGUGGCGGACGGGUGAGGAAUACAUCGGAAUCUACUUUUUCGUGGGGGAUAACGUAGGGAAACUUACGCUAAUACCGCAUACGACUUACGGGUGAAAGCAGGGGAUCUUCGGACCUUGCGCGAUUGAAUGAGCCGAUGUCGGAUUAGCUAGUUGGCGGGGUAAAGGCCCACCAAGGCGACGAUCCGUAGCUGGUCUGAGAGGAUGAUCAGCCACACUGGAACUGAGACACGGUCCAGACUCCUACGGGAGGCAGCAGUGGGGAAUAUUGGACAAUGGGCGCAAGCCUGAUCCAGCCAUACCGCGUGGGUGAAGAAGGCCUUCGGGUUGUAAAGCCCUUUUGCUGGGAAAGAAAAGCAGCAGGUUAAUACCCCGCUGUUCUGACGGUACCCAAAGAAUAAGCACCGGCUAACUUCGUG